This 460-nucleotide ribosomal RNA is filed under the name uncultured bacterium. Its description in RNAcentral is "partial 16S ribosomal RNA". It matches the Rfam family "Bacterial small subunit ribosomal RNA", at positions 338 to 795 of the family's 1533-position model. The record is from RNAcentral.
CCUACGGGUGGCAGCAGUGAGGAAUAUUGGUCAAUGGGCGAGAGCCUGAACCAGCCAAGUAGCGUGAAGGAUGACUGCCCUACGGGUUGUAAACUUCUUUUAUAAAGGAAUAAACCGCGUCACGUGUGCCUUUUUGCAUGUACUUUAUGAAUAAGGAUCGGCUAACUCCGUGCCAGCAGCCGCGUUAAUACGGAGGGUCCGAGCGUUAUCCGGAUUUAUUGGGUUUAAAGGGAGCGUAGAUGGGUUGUUAAGUCAGUUGUGAAAGUUUGCGGCUCAACCGUAAAAUUGCAAUGGAUACUGGAAGGCUUGAGUACAGUUGAGGUAGGCGGAAUUCGUGGUGUAGCGGUGAAAUGCUUAGAUAUCACGAAGAACACCGAUUGCGAAGGCAGCUUACUAAAGUGGAACUGACAUUGAUGCUCGAAAGUGUGGGUAUCAAACAGGAUUAGAUACCCUUGUAGUC